UAAGGAAUUUUGGACAAUGGGCGCAAGCCUGAUCCAGCCAUGCCGCGUGCAGGAUGAAGGCCUUCGGGUUGUAAACUGCUUUUGUACGGAACGAAAAGGUGCCUUCUAAUAAAGGGCGCUCAUGACGGUACCGUAAGAAUAAGCACCGGCUAACUACGUGCCAGCAGCCGCGGUAAUACGUAGGGUGCGAGCGUUAAUCGGAAUUACUGGGCGUAAAGCGUGCGCAGGCGGGUUUGUAAGACAGAGGUGAAAUCCCCGGGCUCAACCUGGGAACUGCCUUUGUGACUGCAAGGCUGGAGUGCGGCAGAGGGGGAUGGAAUUCCGCGUGUAGCAGUGAAAUGCGUAGAUAUGCGGAGGAACACCGAUGGCGAAGGCAAUCCCCUGGGCCUGCACUGACGCUCAUGCACGAAAGCGUGGGGAGCAAACA
This 427-nucleotide ribosomal RNA is filed under the name uncultured bacterium. RNAcentral's name for it is "bacterial SSU rRNA". It matches the Rfam family "Bacterial small subunit ribosomal RNA", at positions 355 to 774 of the family's 1533-position model. The record is from RNAcentral.